CUGUGUUUUCCUCCUCCGGGUCUUGGCAUCGGUCUCUGUCAUGGAAAGAGCCCUGAGGUGACCAGAAUCCAUCCACACACAGACUGUCGUGGCCUAGAUGCCUGAGCCAGCUGCUCCUGGUUGGUGGAGUACAUCUGCUGCAGGGCCUGCUCCAGCUCAUGGUUCCUGUCGAGGAGGCUUUUCCCCAGCUCCGCUGCCAAAUGGAGAUCUGUCAAGGCACAGGAAAACAUGUAAACAUAAGAUACAGGGCAGUUUCAAUGCCCAAACACAGGCAAUGGAUAAAACUAGAUGUGUGUAGUGGGUACACACACACAAACCUCGUUGUCUCACGCUAUUACUUAUCUGGCACUGGUGAAUCACGGAGGAAUCUGAAACAUGCCUUGGGAUCUCCUUGUGACCCUUUCCCCCCCUCUACUAAAUUCUUGUGAAUUCUGAAUCUUGUCCAGCGACAGUGUUGACUACCCCGCUGAGGUGAAGUGAAUCUUAUGUGGGAAGUACUCUAGGUACAGACAAUAACAAUGCAAGGAAACCAAACAUGUUUCACGCAACAAGCAGUGUGUGCCCUGUGAUUUUAACUCAAACUUGCAAUCAAAUAGUCUUAAGCUCUACUCUGACGUCCUUAGAGUUGGUGGCGGAGAGGAGGAUGCUGAACAAACAUUUAUCCAACACGGAAGAAUGACUGAAAUCUGGUCCGUAAAUCUACAAACAGCAGAACAUUUCCAGUUUUAUUCAGCUCCACUGUGGAAUGCUACAGGAAGUCUUUCCUGUCUGCUGCCAUCACUCUGCAUAAGGAGCCGCCUCUGUAUCGGGACUCUGGCUCCUACGAUUUCUUUCCUACAACCAGGACUUGGUCUUGUACAUCCAUCAGCUUAAUCAUUAUAGUAACUCAUUACUCUUUUGGUUAUUGAUUUACUUGCUAAUUAUUUUCUUUGAUUGAUGUAUCAUUUUUGUAAACACAGCAAUAGUAAAUAGUGCCCAGCGAUGAUGUUUUAAAAUUCCUCAUUUUAUUCGCCCCACAAGCCAAAACCCAAACAUACUACAUUUAUUUUAAUAUAUGCCAAACGUAGGCAUCCUCACACUUAAGAAGCUAGCACCAGCAAACAAUUAAUUGUUUAUCAAUCAAUAGUUGAUUAUUAUAUUAAUCAACUAAAUCUUUCCAUGACUCUCUGCUGUUCUUUCACACUUUUCAGACCUUCUAGCCAUAUUUAUUACCACUACAUUAUCUCACCCCUGCACUGUAAAACACCACUAUAUUUGAUAUAUAUAUAUAUAGUAAUGUUUAUUCAAUUUACAAAUGCUUCUAUUUUAAUAUGCAGUACACAAGCACAAUCCAGGACCUUGUGCAGUAUACUACAGGGAACUACAACUGUAAAGUGUAUAUUCAAUACAUAGAGGUUCUAGUUUUACUUCUUCUCAGGUUUAUAUUUUAUCCUGUCCUUAUUAUUUAUUCCUUAUUCCCUUGUUUUGUCCCUUAUGUUCUGUAACUGCAAUGUAUCUUGUGCUUUAAUAAAACACUCCAUCUAUAAA
Long non-coding RNA from Dicentrarchus labrax (European seabass), 1527 nucleotides. RefSeq lists it as uncharacterized. NCBI's taxonomy places the organism in Eukaryota, Metazoa, Chordata, Actinopteri, Moronidae. The record is from RefSeq and is a predicted model, not a curated record. The transcript is spliced from 2 exons.